CAAUAAUGUGCAAGUAUAUGUAGAUGAAAGCUUCCUGAUGGUAGUCUAAAUUAAAAAGUCAAAACCAUCAUAUAUUAAUCAGUUUAGAAGGAUUUGAUACAUUAACUUUCAUAUGGAAAAUUUGCAUCCCUCUGUGUUAGAAAAUAGAGCUUUUAAACAAACAAAAAAAAAACACACAUGAAAGGAAGAUCCAAAUUCCUAUAUGACAAUUCCACUCGAGGUAGGAUUUAUGUAUUUUCUAAGUGUGCAUUAUUAAGAAUCAUGUUCAGUGCAAAACUAUCCUCCAAUAACGGUCUAAACAGCGGUAUUUACAUAGUGAUAGUAAGUAAAUAUAAAUCAAAUAUCUUUUGUUGAUGUUGAUGAAAAUAAAAUGUUUAUCAGUGACUAUUACCGUACAUUUAUUUUAAAUUUACCUAUCAGAGCAGUACUUAUAUAAACAUAUGUAUACAUAUA
RNAcentral lists this long non-coding RNA (453 nucleotides) under Mytilus galloprovincialis (Mediterranean mussel). The record is from RNAcentral. Lineage: Eukaryota; Metazoa; Mollusca; Bivalvia; Mytilida; Mytilidae.